CCUGGUAGUCCAUGCUAUAAACUAUGAAUACUAGAUAGUAGAACCGAUUAAUUCCGUAUAAAUAUAUAUCGAACGAGGAAAAUUAACCGACUGUUUUUAUCACUUUUAACAUUUUAAUAUUAAAAGAUAGCACGUUACACAUUCCGCCUGGGGAGUAAGAACCGCAAGGUCUGAAACUCGAAGGAAUUGACGGGAGCUUAUGCUUACGGUGGAGCAUGUGGUUUAAUCCGAUAGCCCGCGUGAAAUCUUACCAAUUUUUGACAUUUAUAUAUUUUUGAUAUCGAGCAGGGGUUGCAUGGCCGUCGUCAGCUUAUGUUUUGAAAUUUAUGAUAUAAGUACAACCCUUAUUUUAAUUUGCUAUUAUUCUACAAUUUUUAUUAAUUUAUAAAAAAUUAAAUAAGAACUAUUAAAAUUAAAAUAACAAAUUUUGUUAAAAGGAUGAAGAUAGGUCGUUAUGACCCUUAUAAAUUGGGCUACACAUUGGUG
This 486-nucleotide ribosomal RNA is filed under the name Blastocystis sp. subtype 3. Its description in RNAcentral is "SSU rRNA". It matches the Rfam family "Bacterial small subunit ribosomal RNA", at positions 786 to 1224 of the family's 1533-position model. Lineage: Eukaryota; Bigyra; Opalinata; Blastocystidae. The record is from RNAcentral.